Non-coding RNA from Glycine soja, 63 nucleotides. Lineage: Eukaryota; Viridiplantae; Streptophyta; Magnoliopsida; Fabales; Fabaceae. The record is from Rfam.
AGUAGAGCAACUUGGUAGCUUGCAAGGCUCAUAACCUUGAGGUUGGAGGUUCAAAUCCUGUCU